CCUAUACAUGCAAGUCGAGCGAAUGGAUUAAGAGCUUGCUCUUAUGAAGUUAGCGGCGGACGGGUGAGUAACACGUGGGUAACCUGCCCAUAAGACUGGGAUAACUCCGGGAAACCGGGGCUAAUACCGGAUAACAUUUUGAACCGCAUGGUUCGAAAUUGAAAGGCGGCUUCGGCUGUCACUUAUGGAUGGACCCGCGUCGCAUUAGCUAGUUGGUGAGGUAACGGCUCACCAAGGCAACGAUGCGUAGCCGACCUGAGAGGGUGAUCGGCCACACUGGGACUGAGACACGGCCCAGACUCCUACGGGAGGCAGCAGUAGGGAAUCUUCCGCAAUGGACGAAAGUCUGACGGAGCAACGCCGCGUGAGUGAUGAAGGCUUUCGGGUCGUAAAACUCUGUUGUUAGGGAAGAACAAGUGCUAGUUGAAUAAGCUGGCACCUUGACGGUACCUAACCAGAAAGCCACGGCUAACUACGUGCCAGCAGCCGCGGUAAUACGUAGGUGGCAAGCGUUAUCCGGAAUUAUUGGGCGUAAAGCGCGCGCAGGUGGUUUCUUAAGUCUGAUGUGAAAGCCCACGGCUCAACCGUGGAGGGUCAUUGGAAACUGGGAGACUUGAGUGCAGAAGAGGAAAGUGGAAUUCCAUGUGUAGCGGUGAAAUGCGUAGAGAUAUGGAGGAACACCAGUGGCGAAGGCGACUUUCUGGUCUGUAACUGACACUGAGGCGCGAAAGCGUGGGGAGCAAACAGGAUUAGAU
This 755-nucleotide ribosomal RNA is filed under the name Bacillus cereus. RNAcentral describes it as "bacterial SSU rRNA". It matches the Rfam family "Bacterial small subunit ribosomal RNA", at positions 48 to 783 of the family's 1533-position model. Lineage: Bacteria; Bacillati; Bacillota; Bacilli; Caryophanales; Bacillaceae. The record is from RNAcentral.